This 253-nucleotide ribosomal RNA is filed under the name uncultured bacterium. Its description in RNAcentral is "partial 16S ribosomal RNA". It matches the Rfam family "Bacterial small subunit ribosomal RNA", at positions 524 to 776 of the family's 1533-position model. The record is from RNAcentral.
GACCGAGGUUGCAAACGUUGUUCGGAAUUACUGGGCAUAAAGCGCACGUAGGUGGUCCGCUAAGUCGGAUGUGAAAUUCCCCGGCUCAACCGGGGAACGGCAAUCGAUACUGGCGGGCUUGAGGUCCGGAGGGGUGAGUGGAACUCCUGGUGGAGCGGUGAAAUGCGUAGAUAUCAGGAGGAACACCAGUGGCGAAAGCGGCUCACUGGCCGGAAUCUGACACUGAGGUGCGAAAGCUAGGGUAGCAAACGGG